GAUGAACGCUGGCGGCGUGCCUAAUACAUGCAAGUCGAGCGAACAGACGAGGAGCUUGCUCCUCUGACGUUAGCGGCGGACGGGUGAGUAACACGUGGAUAACCUACCUAUAAGACUGGGAUAACUUCGGGAAACCGGAGCUAAUACCGGAUAAUAUAUUGAACCGCAUGGUUCAAUAGUGAAAGACGGUUUUGCUGUCACUUAUAGAUGGAUCCGCGCCGCAUUAGCUAGUUGGUAAGGUACGGCUUACCAAGGCAACGAUGCGUAGCCGACCUGAGAGGGUGAUCGGCCACACUGGAACUGAGACACGGUCCAGACUCCUACGGGAGGCAGCAGUAGGGAAUCUUCCGCAAUGGGCGAAAGCCUGACGGAGCAACGCCGCGUGAGUGAUGAAGGUCUUCGGAUCGUAAAACUCUGUUAUUAGGGAAGAACAAAUGUGUAAGUAACUAUGCACGUCUUGACGGUACCUAAUCAGAAAGCCACGGCUAACUACGUG
This 496-nucleotide ribosomal RNA is filed under the name uncultured bacterium. RNAcentral's name for it is "partial 16S ribosomal RNA". It matches the Rfam family "Bacterial small subunit ribosomal RNA", at positions 28 to 507 of the family's 1533-position model. The record is from RNAcentral.